ACACUCCUACGGGAGGCAGCAGUGGGGAAUUUUGGACAAUGGGCGAAAGCCUGAUCCAGCAAUGCCGCGUGAGUGAAGAAGGCCUUCGGGUUGUAAAGCUCUUUUGUCAGGGAAGAAACGGUGAAAGCUAAUAUCUUUUGCUAAUGACGGUACCUGAAGAAUAAGCACCGGCUAACUACGUGCCAGCAGCCGCGGUAAUACGUAGGGUGCAAGCGUUAAUCGGAAUUACUGGGCGUAAAGCGUGCGCAGGCGGUUUUGUAAGUCUGAUGUGAAAUCCCCGGGCUCAACCUGGGAAUUGCAUUGGAGACUGCAAGGCUAGAAUCUGGCAGAGGGGGGUAGAAUUCCACGUGUAGCAGUGAAAUGCGUAGAUAUGUGGAGGAACACCGAUGGCGAAGGCAGCCCCCUGGGUCAAGAUUGACGCUCAUGCAUGAAAGCGUGGGGAGCAAACAGGAUUAGAAACCCUGGUAGUCCCAUGA
RNAcentral lists this ribosomal RNA (476 nucleotides) under uncultured organism. RNAcentral's name for it is "partial 16S ribosomal RNA". It matches the Rfam family "Bacterial small subunit ribosomal RNA", at positions 333 to 800 of the family's 1533-position model. The record is from RNAcentral.